This 72-nucleotide transfer RNA is filed under the name Camelus bactrianus (Bactrian camel). It matches the Rfam family "tRNA". Rfam says of the family: Transfer RNA (tRNA) molecules are approximately 80 nucleotides in length. Their secondary structure includes four short double-helical elements and three loops (D, anti-codon, and T loops). Lineage: Eukaryota; Metazoa; Chordata; Mammalia; Artiodactyla; Camelidae. RNAcentral also lists the same sequence under 1 other name. The record is from Rfam by way of RNAcentral.
GAAGGUAUAGCCCAGUGGUAGAGCACAUGCUUAGCAUGCACGAGGUCCUGGGUUUGAUCCCCAGUACCUCCA